GAUGAACGCUAGCGGCAGGCCUAAUACAUGCAAGUCGAGCGGUAGAGUGACUUCGGUUGCUUGAGAGCGGCGCACGGGUGAGUAACGCGUACAUGACCUACCUUUAAGACUGGGAUAGCCCUGGGAAACUGGGAUUAAUACCGGAUGUGAUAAUACGUAUAGAGAUGUAUUAUUAAAGUUGAGGCGCUUAGAGAUGGAUGUGCGUCUGAUUAGCUAGUUGGUAGGUAACGGCCUACCAAGGCGACGAUCAGUAGGGGCUGAGAGCGUGGCCCCCCACACGGGUACUGAGACACGGACCCGACUCCUACGGGAGGCAGCAGUAAGGAAUAUUGGUCAAUGGACGGAAGUCUGAACCAGCC
RNAcentral lists this ribosomal RNA (359 nucleotides) under uncultured bacterium. RNAcentral's name for it is "bacterial SSU rRNA". It matches the Rfam family "Bacterial small subunit ribosomal RNA", at positions 28 to 393 of the family's 1533-position model. The record is from RNAcentral.